GGACCCGCACAAGUAGUGGAGCAUGUGGUUUAAUUCGAUGCAACGCGAAGAACCUUACCAGGCCUUGACAUCCUCGGAACUUUCUAGAGAUAGAUUGGUGCCUUCGGGAACCGAGUGACAGGUGCUGCAUGGCUGUCGUCAGCUCGUGUCGUGAGAUGUUGGGUUAAGUCCCGUAACGAGCGCAACCCUUGUCCUUAGUUGCCAGCACAUUAUGGUGGGAACUCUAAGGAGACCGCCGGUGAUAAACCGGAGGAAGGUGUGGAUGACGUCAAGUCAUCAUGCCCCUUACAUCCUGGGCUACACACGUACUACAAUGCUACGGACAAAGGGCAGCAAGUUCGCGAGGACAAGCAAAUCCCAUAAACCGUGGCUCAGUUCAGAUCGUAGGCUGCAACUCGCCUACGUGAAGGCGGAAUC
Molecule: ribosomal RNA, 417 nt
Filed under: uncultured bacterium
Lineage: Bacteria
Description: bacterial SSU rRNA
Rfam family: Bacterial small subunit ribosomal RNA
Source: RNAcentral